Molecule: long non-coding RNA, 1541 nt
Organism: Olea europaea var. sylvestris
Lineage: Eukaryota; Viridiplantae; Streptophyta; Magnoliopsida; Lamiales; Oleaceae
Exons: 3
Source: RefSeq, a predicted model, not a curated record
CCUAAACUCUACUCAUCUCACGUCUUCAAUCCCGCCUCAAAGUCGACAAGCCCUAAUCUGUCUCCCAUCUAUUUCUCUCAAAUCGUCGACGAUAAUCUUCAUUUUGCCGUUGCCGAUCAUCGGACAUCCACACUCCAGUGCUAGAAUGAAAGAGGGACCUCAGAAGAGCUGGAAAGAAGACUUGGCUUCCAAUUUAGAGAGAGAAAGAUAGCUGUAAAGUGAAGGCAAAUAUGAGAUCAUUGACAUGUACAGAUACACAAUUUAUAGCUGUCUGUGAAAAAAAUAUUUAUGGAGACAAUUUAUACUAUAUCAAAUAAUAUAAAUUUUUAUCCCAGGUUCUGCGAUUCGUUCGUUUGAAAAAUUAGUUCACUAUGGAGAAAUUACACUGAAAAUGAUAUAUACAGGGGAAAUAAUAUACGACAAUUUCAACAACUAUAAUAUAACAUACCAGAUGAGUAUUGAAUUUUCCAGGCCUUUUCCUAACAGAGAAAUGUAGACUUUUGUUUGGAGGAGAUCAGGCGUGCCUUUUCAAGGGUGCAUUUUAGACGGUGAUGCCAGCAGUUCUUGUCUCUCAUUGUGCAGUAAUUCCACGGUUUACAAAUGCUUUACACAUGAUUUGAGCAUCAUGGACAGCGAAGAAAGUCACCGUCACCACGGUGGCAGUGUAUGCAGCUACGUGUUGCACGAUGGUACUUUGCCUAUGAUCUCCAACGGCGAGUCCCACUACUCGUAUAAACAACACCAGGAGCUGCUGUUUUUGUGGCAAUGACAGUGCCGGCACUGCUUGUUGCUGCAAGGUAAACUUGUGACAACAUAAAGUAGUGUGUAGAAGUGUUAGAAGCUUAGUGUGUUUUGUUCAUGUUUUAAAUACCAUUUAGAUUUGAUAUAUUGUUUGAUUUUUAGAGUUUUACAAUGUUUUGAUGUAUGUUUUAGUGUUGUUUUACAGUAGGUGAAGUGGUGUAAAUGAUGCAAAAAUUAGAGAACAUAGUGAUUUUAGCAUAAAUCAAGAAGAAGAUAACUUGCAAAUAGGCAACAAACACAAGGAGUGAGCGGAAAUAGCAUGAAAACAUAGUUAUAUUACGACAAAUGGGGCAUCCAAGUGUCACAAUCCGAUGCCUUGGCGUCACACAUAGCAAGGUAAGAAAAAUAAUUUAGCAGACUGGCAACCAAGAGCUAAACAAGAAGUUGGCGCCUGGGCGCUAGUCACAUCAUUCAUCUUGGUGCUUAGGCGCCCAAUCAAGGCGCAUAGGUUCCAGUUGCCAUUCAGAUAAGGUUUUGUAUUUUUUUUAUCCGUUUAGAAGUCCAAUUUAACGCCAACUCGUCUAGGGCUUCAACGAGGCAUAGAUACAACCUUGAGGGCAUUUUGAACUAUAGUUAGAUGAGACAAAAGCAAGAGAUCGAGAGGAACAACGAGAAGAAAAUUGAUUCAAGCUCCAAAACAAUUUUUAUUUCUUUCUUCUUUACGUUCUUGAUUGAACUAAGUUAUUCAUCCAAGGUUUGAUGUAAUUGAUGUUUUAAGAUUACUUUUUGAGAUUCAAUAA